UGCUCCAGAAUAGCUCUUGGAAACGGGUGGUAAUGCUGGAUGCUCCAACUUGACGCAUGUCUUGUUGGGAAAGUGUUUAGUGGCAUGGGAUGGGGUCGGCGUCCUAUCAGCUUGUAGGCGGGGUAAGUGGCCCACCUAGGCUUCGACUGGUAGCCGGCCUGAGAGGGCGGACGGCCACAUUGGGACUGAGAUACGGCCCAGACUCCUACGGGAGGCAGCAGCA
This 223-nucleotide ribosomal RNA is filed under the name uncultured Gardnerella sp. RNAcentral describes it as "partial 16S ribosomal RNA". It matches the Rfam family "Bacterial small subunit ribosomal RNA", at positions 134 to 355 of the family's 1533-position model. The record is from RNAcentral. Lineage: Bacteria; Bacillati; Actinomycetota; Actinomycetes; Bifidobacteriales; Bifidobacteriaceae.